UAAGGUGAAACCGCGAAUGGCUCAUUAAAUCACACCUAAUCUACUGGAUAGAAAAAAGUUACUUGGAUAACUGCGGUAAUUCUGGAGCUAAUACAUGCACAAAGCCUCAACCUUACGGGAGAGGCGCUUUUAUUAGAUCAAAACCAAACGGCUUCGGCUGUACUCUUGGUGACUCUGAAUAACUUUGGGCUGAUCGCAUAGCCUUGAGCUGGCGACAUAUCCUUCGAAGGUGUGCCCUAUCAACUGUCGACUGUGGCAUAGACGCCCACAGUGGUUUUGACGGGUAACGGGGAAUCAGGGUUCGAUUCCGGAGAGGGAGCCUUAAAAACGGCUACCACAUCUAAGGAAGGCAGCAGGCACGCAAAUUACCCAAUGACCGAAGGUCGAGGUAGUGACGAAAAAUAACGAUAGAGGACUCAUCCGAGGCCCUCUAAUUGGAAUGAGUACACUUUAAAACCGUUUCCGAGGAUCCAU
RNAcentral lists this ribosomal RNA (474 nucleotides) under Paracalanus aculeatus. RNAcentral's name for it is "SSU rRNA". It matches the Rfam family "Eukaryotic small subunit ribosomal RNA", at positions 77 to 548 of the family's 1831-position model. Lineage: Eukaryota; Metazoa; Arthropoda; Copepoda; Calanoida; Paracalanidae. The record is from RNAcentral.